GUCCCCUUUCUUCUGUUAUGCUUUGCUGCCAAUGCAUGUUGUGAUCACACUGAGGAAAUUCCUUCUUUUUAUACUGUGCACUGGCUCGAAUUGCAUUAUUUUGCUGCAAAAGGAAAAGAAGAAACAAAUACCUAAGCAACAUGCCUAGGAGUGACAUUUCCUGAUUUUAGCAAAUUAGAAAUGACGCAAGCUGAUACGAAUUUAAAUUACAAAAGUUUUUUAACGUGUUGAGCAAAAGUAAAAUUCUUUGCGAUGAGUUAAUGAGUGAAUGGCACGAUUCAGUAGGAGUAUAAAACCCAAAUUUGAUAUGCAAACAUGUUGCAACGAAUCGUUGGC
This 336-nucleotide long non-coding RNA is filed under the name Eucalyptus grandis. Its description in RNAcentral is "long non-coding RNA (EGRA_LNC004352)". The record is from RNAcentral. Lineage: Eukaryota; Viridiplantae; Streptophyta; Magnoliopsida; Myrtales; Myrtaceae.